RNAcentral lists this ribosomal RNA (394 nucleotides) under uncultured bacterium. Its description in RNAcentral is "partial 16S ribosomal RNA". It matches the Rfam family "Bacterial small subunit ribosomal RNA", at positions 523 to 918 of the family's 1533-position model. The record is from RNAcentral.
AUACGUAGGGAGCGAGCGUUGUCCGGAAUUACUGGGCGUAAAGGGCGCGUAGGCGGCGCUUAAAGUCGUCUGUCAAAUGGAAGGGCUUGACCCUUUUUCGCAGACGAAACUGGAGAGCUUGAGAAGAAGAGAGGCAAACAGAAUUCCUGGUGUAGCGGUGAAAUGCGUAGAUAUCAGGAAGAAUACCAGUGGCGAAGGCGGUUUGCUGGCCGCAUACUGACGCUGAAGCGCGAAAGCCAGGGGAGCGAACGGGAUUAGAUACCCCGGUAGUCCUGGCAGUAAACGAUGUAUGCUGGGUGUGAGACUAGCGAUAGUUUCGUGCCGAAGUUAACGCGAUAAGCAUACCGCCUGGGGAGUACGGUCGCAAGAUUGAAACUCAAAGGAAUUGACGGGG